UUGAGAAAUGUUAAAGAGUUGAAAAAUUUCCCAUCCCAAGGUUUUCCAGUUCUCUCUUUUUUUGUCAUUUAUACUUCCUUCUAAACAAAGUAUAUAAACUUGCACAAAGUCGCUUGGCUUUCAAGAUCCUGUAAUACUUGAGACCAGACACAAAGGUAUUCAUCCUAGACACUCACCAAC
This 180-nucleotide long non-coding RNA is filed under the name Dipodomys ordii (Ord's kangaroo rat). RNAcentral's name for it is "DAOA antisense RNA 1 conserved region 2 (ENSDORG00000023921.1)". It matches the Rfam family "DAOA antisense RNA 1 conserved region 2". Lineage: Eukaryota; Metazoa; Chordata; Mammalia; Rodentia; Heteromyidae. The record is from RNAcentral.